RNAcentral lists this ribosomal RNA (788 nucleotides) under uncultured archaeon. RNAcentral describes it as "bacterial SSU rRNA". It matches the Rfam family "Archaeal small subunit ribosomal RNA", at positions 72 to 861 of the family's 1478-position model. The record is from RNAcentral.
CGGGAAUUCGAUUACCGCUCAGUAACACGUGGACAACCUACCCUUAGGUCGGGGAUAAACCCGGGAAACUGGGUAUAAUACCCGAUAGAUCUCGACUGCUGGAAUGCAUCGAGAUCGAAAGCUCCGGCGCCUAAGGAUGGGUCUGCGGCCUAUCAGGUAGUAGUGGGUGUAGCGUACCUACUAGCCUACGACGGGUACGGGUUGUGAGAGCAAGAGCCCGGAGAUGGAUUCUGAGACACGAAUCCAGGCCCUACGGGGUGCAGCAGGCGCGAAAACUUUACAAUGCUGGAAACAGCGAUAAGGGGACCUCGAGUGCCAGGUUACAAAUCUGGCUGUCGUGAUGCCUAAAAAGCAUUGCAUAGCAAGGGCCGGGCAAGACCGGUGCCAGCCGCCGCGGUAACACCGGCGGCUCGAGUGGUAACCGUUAUUAUUGGGUCUAAAGGGUCUGUAGCCGGCCGGAUAAGUCUCUUGGGAAAUCCAGCAGCUCAGCUGUUGGGCUUUCAGGAGAUACUGUCUGGCUCGAGGCCGGGAGAGGUGAGAGGUACUUCAGGGGUAGGGGUGAAAUCUUGUAAUCCUUGAAGGACCACCAGUGGCGAAGGCGUCUCACCAGAACGGACCUGACGGCAAGGGACGAAAGCUAGGGGCACGAACCGGAUUAGAUACCCGGGUAGUCCUAGCCGUAAACGAUACUCGCUAGGUGUCGGCCACGGUGCGACCGUUGUCGGUGCCGUAGGGAAGCCGUGAAGCGAGCCACCUGGGAAGUACGGCCGCAAGGCUGAAACUUAAAG